This 193-nucleotide unclassified non-coding RNA is filed under the name plant metagenome. RNAcentral describes it as "partial contains small subunit ribosomal RNA, internal transcribed spacer 1, and 5.8S ribosomal RNA". The record is from RNAcentral.
UUUCCGUAGGUGAACCUGCGGAAGGAUCAUUAGGGAAUUCGGUCAGUCUUCGGACGGCCAACGACCUCCUUCCAACCCUGUGAACUAUUGGGAGCGAAGCGAAAGCUAGACUCCGGCUCAUUUUAAACAUCAGUGAUUGUAUGUAAAAUCAAAAAAUAAAUAAAAACUUUCAACAACGGAUCUCUUGGCUCUC